RNAcentral lists this ribosomal RNA (484 nucleotides) under uncultured bacterium. Its description in RNAcentral is "partial 16S ribosomal RNA". It matches the Rfam family "Bacterial small subunit ribosomal RNA", at positions 30 to 507 of the family's 1533-position model. The record is from RNAcentral.
AUUGAACGCUGGCGGCAUGCUUUACACAUGCAAGUCGAACGGCAGCACGGGCUUCGGCCUGGUGGCGAGUGGCGAACGGGUGAGUAAUAUAUCGGAACGUACCCAGAAGUGGGGGAUAACGUAGCGAAAGUUACGCUAAUACCGCAUACGAUCUAUGGAUGAAAGCAGGGGACCGCAAGGCCUUGUGCUCCUGGAGCGGCCGAUAUCUGAUUAGCUAGUUGGUGAGGUAAAGGCUCACCAAGGCGACGAUCAGUAGCUGGUCUGAGAGGACGACCAGCCACACUGGAACUGAGACACGGUCCAGACUCCUACGGGAGGCAGCAGUGGGGAAUUUUGGACAAUGGGCGCAAGCCUGAUCCAGCAAUGCCGCGUGAGUGAAGAAGGCCUUCGGGUUGUAAAGCUCUUUUGUCAGGGAAGAAACGGUGGAGGCUAAUAUCCUUUGCUAAUGACGGUACCUGAAGAAUAAGCACCGGCUAACUACGUG